UGGGGAAUUUUGGACAAUGGGCGAAAGCCUGAUCCAGCAAUGCCGCGUGUGUGAAGAAGGCCUUCGGGUUGUAAAGCACUUUUGUCCGGAAAGAAAUCCUUGGCUCUAAUACAGUCGGGGGAUGACGGUACCGGAAGAAUAAGCACCGGCUAACUACGUGCCAGCAGCCGCGGUAAUACGUAGGGUGCAAGCGUUAAUCGGAAUUACUGGGCGUAAAGCGUGCGCAGGCGGUUUGCUAAGACCGAUGUGAAAUCCCCGGGCUCAACCUGGGAACUGCAUUGGUGACUGGCAGGCUAGAGUAUGGCAGAGGGGGGUAGAAUUCCACGUGUAGCAGUGAAAUGCGUAGAGAUGUGGAGGAAUACCGAUGGCGAAGGCAGCCCCCUGGGCCAAAUACUGACGCUCAUGCACGAAAGCGUGGGGAGCAAAACAGGAUUAGAUACCCUGGUAGUCCACGCCCUAAAACGAUGUCAACUAGUUGUUGGGGAUUCAUUUCCUUAGUAACGUAGCUAACGCGUGAAGUUGACCGCCUGGGGAGUACGGUCGCAAGAUUAAAACUCAAAUGAAUUGACGGGGUCAUA
Molecule: ribosomal RNA, 578 nt
Filed under: uncultured bacterium
Lineage: Bacteria
Description: partial 16S ribosomal RNA
Rfam family: Bacterial small subunit ribosomal RNA
Source: RNAcentral